GUACUUACCUGGCAGGGGAGAUACUAUGAUCACAAAGGUGGUUUUCCCAAAGCAAGACAUCCGUCGUAUUUUGGAUGUGCUGACUCCUGUGAUUUCCCCAAAUGUGGGAAACUCGACUGCAUAAUUUGUGGUAGUGGGGGAAUGUGUUCAUGCUUCCCCCCA
This is a small nuclear RNA of Camelus dromedarius (Arabian camel), 162 nucleotides long. Its record names the gene U1. It matches the Rfam family "U1 spliceosomal RNA". From Rfam's summary of the family: U1 is a small nuclear RNA (snRNA) component of the spliceosome (involved in pre-mRNA splicing). Its 5' end forms complementary base pairs with the 5' splice junction, thus defining the 5' donor site of an intron. The record is from Ensembl. Lineage: Eukaryota; Metazoa; Chordata; Mammalia; Artiodactyla; Camelidae.